This is a long non-coding RNA of Thunnus maccoyii (southern bluefin tuna), 1430 nucleotides long. RefSeq lists it as uncharacterized. The record is from RefSeq and is a predicted model, not a curated record. NCBI's taxonomy places the organism in Eukaryota, Metazoa, Chordata, Actinopteri, Scombriformes, Scombridae. The transcript has 3 exons.
UGAUGACAGCGGAGUGGAACACUAGAGAGUGAUGAUUGAUGGAUGGUGCUGCCUCGACUUGCUGUAGCUAAGACUUCCAGCUUUAAGUGACAGGCCAUGUCAUCCGCAUGCCAAACUCACGCCUCCCUAAACUGAUUCUCAGCUCCCAGUGGAUUGUGGACACACCAAAAGGACUUCUCUACAAGAGGAGCUGGAUGAAAAACACCUCCACAGAGCCGAGGAAGAAAAACUUCAACCACUAAAGCAGGGCAGUCUUGUUCAUUAUUUAAAAAAACCAUCCUGAACAUCCACAUUCUCUCACAAGAAGUUUGAUCCAUGUCUCUGUAUGUGGUUUUCACACAGAUUCCCACUGUGUACUGUAUGUGCAUGGCUAUGUGUGUGUGUGUGUUUUUCCCCCUCCAUUAAUGUACGUAUCUGUGUGCACACUGUAUAUUUGUGUGUCGGGUGUUUGUGCAACUACAUGUAGCAACUGAGAGUAGAAUGAUAAGCAAAGCCUGAGGUCAUCCAUCACACACGAUGUCUAUAACAAACAAGCAGGAGGAAAAGCAGGGAGCCAUGAUGGAGCUGAGGCCUCAACACAGCAGCUUGCAGACUAAACAGAUGUGUACAGUGGGUGAUGUAAAUGCCUUCCAGCUGGGGGGAAAAAUGGAAGAUCUGUUUCCCUUCAAAAAAAAAAAAAAACCUCCAUAAACUGCACUGAAGCUACUAUAUUCUGUUUGACUAGCCAGAUUUGAGCAAGAGAAGAUUCCCAUGAAAAUAUUUUUAUACAGAUUUCUAAUCUGAGGCAUCAUGAUGCUUUGUUACACAGAACCGUCUGAGAAGUCGUCCUUGGAAACUGUUUGGAAAAGGGCAAGCGCUUUUAAAAAAUACUUGGCAGGUGAUUGGAUGAGCCAUCUGUCUAUCACUGUCUAUCAAUGUCUAUCACUGUCUAUCAACAUCUUACCUUGUAAGGCAGCUGAAUUCGCAGUGGACACAAGUGCAUAACUUGAAGCCUGACAAGAUCGAUUCUUGCCAUGAUCUUUUGAUGUUGUGAAUCCAGCUACCUCACAAGGUGAAAAGACCACUAUGACCAUCGAAGGCCAGGAUCUAUGAUUGUACAUUUUAUUCCUACAAUAUUGUGUCGUCUCAUGUAAUGUGAACAAAGUAAGUUGGUAGCUGCAGAUUAGUAGUUAGUGGUUAAAGGGAAACUUUGGUAUUUUUCAAUCUGGACCCAAUUUCCCAUAAUUUUGUGUCUAAGUGACUAAUUGGGACAACCAUUUUUGAAACUGGUCCAGUAUUGAAUGACAGCGCUGUAGCCAACAGCCAGGAAACAGGAUGCAAUGUAAUCCGAUGGGGCAAUAGCAUCCCGUCAAUGUACGUCAACUAAAAGUGCUUAUUUUUGCCACUGACAGGCUCAGAUUGUCAUUAUAAGUGUCUGAUAACAUUAUGGA